GUGGGGAAUUUUGGACAAUGGGCGAAAGCCUGAUCCAGCAAUGCCGCGUGUGUGAAGAAGGCCUUCGGGUUGUAAAGCACUUUUGGCAGGGAAGAAACAGUGCGUGCUAAUACCAUGCGCGAAUGACGGUACCGGCAGAAUAAGCACCGGCUAACUACGUGCCAGCAGCCGCGGUAAUACGGAGGGUGCAAGCGUUAAUCGGAAUUACUGGGCGUAAAGCGUGCGCAGGCGGCUUUGUAAGACGGAUGGGAAAGCCCCGGGCUAGACCUGGGGAGUGCAUUCGUGACUGAGAGGAUAGAGUGUGUCAGAGGGAGGUGGAAUUCCGCGUGUAGCAGUGAAAUGCGUAGAGAUGCGGAGGAACACCGAUGGCGAAGGCAGCCUCCUGGGAUAACACUGACGCUCAGGCACGAAAGCGUGGGGAGCAAACAGGAUUAGAAACCCCAGUAGUCC
Molecule: ribosomal RNA, 450 nt
Filed under: uncultured bacterium
Lineage: Bacteria
Description: bacterial SSU rRNA
Rfam family: Bacterial small subunit ribosomal RNA
Source: RNAcentral